UGUGAAGGUAAAAAUCGUAACAAGGUCUCCGUUGGUGAACCAGCGGAGGGAUCAUUACCGAGUUGCAAGACUCCCCAACCAUCGUGAACUGCUACCUUGUCGUUGCUUCGGCGGGCGGCCCCCUGGGAGGGGGCCGAUGCCCCGCCCGGCGCCCGCCGGAGCAGCCAGCCUACAUACCAAACCAUGGCCUGUCCUGUCUCUCUGAUUGCCCUUACAGAACGAAUCAAAACUUUCAACAACGGAUCUCUUGGUUCUGGCAUCGAUGAAGAACGCAGCGAAAUGCGAUACGUAAUGUGAAUUGCAGAAUUCAGCGAAUCAUCGAAUCUUUGAACGCACAUUGCGCCCGCCAGUACCCUGGCGGGCAUGCCUGUCCGAGCGUCACUUCCACCGUCGAGGCCCCCCCAGGGGGGCCCGUGUUGGGGGUCCUGCGGCCCUGCCGCCAGGCCCCCGAAACGCAGUGGCGGGGCUCGCUGUCACCCCGAGCGCAGUAGGUUCUUCCACGGCUCGCUUAGGGCGUGCGGCGGGCACCCGGCCGUCAAAACCCCUCCCCAACAGAAAGGUUGACCUCGGAUCACGUGGAAUCCCAUUCC
RNAcentral lists this ribosomal RNA (590 nucleotides) under Staphylotrichum coccosporum. RNAcentral's name for it is "partial 18S ribosomal RNA". The stretch from base 228 to 381 matches the Rfam family "5.8S ribosomal RNA". The record is from RNAcentral. Lineage: Eukaryota; Fungi; Ascomycota; Sordariomycetes; Sordariales; Chaetomiaceae.